CCUACGGGAGGCAGCAGUCGAGAAUCAUUCACAAUGGGGGAAACCCUGAUGGUGCGACGCCGCGUGGGGGAAUGAUGGUCUUCGGAUUGUAAACUCCUGUCAUGUGGGAGCAAAUUAAAAAGAUAGUACCACAAGAGGAAGAGACGGCUAACUCUGUGCCAGCAGCCGCGGUAAUACAGAGGUCUCAAGCGUUGUUCGGAAUCACUGGGCUUAAAGCGUGCGUAGGCUGUUUCGUAAGUCGUGUGUGAAAGGCGCGGGCUCAACCCGCGGACGGCACAUGAUACUGCGAGACUAGAGUAAUGGAGGGGGAACCGGAAUUCGCGGUGUAGCAGUGAAAUGCGUAGAUAUCGAGAGGAACACUCGUGGCGAAGGCGGGUUCCUGGACAUUAACUGACGCUGAGGCACGAAGGCCAGGGGAGCGAAAGGGAUUAGAUACCCCGGUUGUC
RNAcentral lists this ribosomal RNA (446 nucleotides) under uncultured bacterium. Its description in RNAcentral is "partial 16S ribosomal RNA". It matches the Rfam family "Bacterial small subunit ribosomal RNA", at positions 338 to 795 of the family's 1533-position model. The record is from RNAcentral.